This 440-nucleotide ribosomal RNA is filed under the name uncultured bacterium. Its description in RNAcentral is "partial 16S ribosomal RNA". It matches the Rfam family "Bacterial small subunit ribosomal RNA", at positions 338 to 795 of the family's 1533-position model. The record is from RNAcentral.
CCUACGGGAGGCAGCAGUAGGGAAUAUUGCUCAAUGGGGGAAACCCUGAAGCAGCAACGCCGCGUGGAGGAUGAAGGUUUUCGGAUUGUAAACUCCUUUUGUUAGAGAAGAUAAUGACGGUAUCUAACGAAUAAGCACCGGCUAACUCCGUGCCAGCAGCCGCGGUAAUACGGAGGGUGCAAGCGUUACUCGGAAUCACUGGGCGUAAAGAGCGCGUAGGCGGGAUAGCAAGUCAGAUGUGAAAUCCUAGGGCUUAACCAUAGAACUGCAUUUGAAACUGUGAUUCUAGAGUAUGGGAGAGGUAGGUGGAAUUCUUGGUGUAGGGGUGAAAUCCGUAGAGAUCAAGAGGAAUACUCAUGGCGAAGGCGACCUGCUAGCACAUAACUGACGCUGAUGCGCGAAAGCGUGGGGAGCAAACAGGAUUAGAUACCCCGGUAGUC